Molecule: long non-coding RNA, 2024 nt
Organism: Gallus gallus (chicken)
Lineage: Eukaryota; Metazoa; Chordata; Aves; Galliformes; Phasianidae
Source: Ensembl
AGGAAAGGAAAGGAAAGGAAAGGAAAGGAAAGGAAAGGAAAGGAAAGGAAAGGAAAGGAAAGGAAAGGAAAGGAAAGGAAAGGAAAGGAAAGGAAAGGAAAGGAAAGGAAGCUCACAGUUUCUGACAUUAACAGAUAACGUGCAUAAAUAUUGCAGGUAGAUUUAGAAGGGAUGUAAUUGCAGUUUUAACCCAGACAGCAAACAGUAUUGUCUCCACAAGGUACUUUUGAUUUCCUCCUGCAAAUUUAGUCUCCAAAUUCCAUAACAAGCCCAUAUCUUUGUACAAGAGAGCAUUUUAUAGGUCAAGUUAAAAAAAAAAAAAUCGAAUAAAAUGUAAUGCCUGUCGUCUUAGGGAGAAACAAGGGCUGAGGGAAGGCCUUUCCAGGCCCACUUUUAAACAGAGCUCACAAUACACCAGGCGAACAUUGUGGAUUUAAAAUGCUUUUAAAUAUUUAUCACAAGUAUUUUAUUGCCAUAUUCAAAUGACACCUGGAGUGCACUCACCUUUAUUGACAGUCGCUGUUCUUAAAGUCCAUUUGCUUCGCCGGAGCCCCCCAAGCAGAACAACGCGGGCUAACCGCUUUCAUUCAGUUAAUGUUUGGUAAAAAACCAAGCGACCUUAAUCAGCAUGCUGAUUGCAUCGUCAACUAACAAAUAAUUUACUACUCCGAGCAUUGCAUUCCAUUAAAAGCUCAUUAAAUUUUCUGUUCUCCAAUGGGAGCUUCAGCUUUUGAACUGCACGCUUUAGCUCCGAAUUAUCACUUCUUCCAUUUUCUUCUUUUUUUUUCUUUUUUACAAAAUGUUUAUUUUGUUCUUUUUAAAUUAUUACUAUUUUAUUUUAUUUUUUCAAAGCACAGAUGAUGAUUUCAAUACCCACAUCCAGGACAGUGGUGGGAAAAUAGAUCUCAGAUUAAUCGCUAUGAGAAACUCAGGACAUUGUGGGUCCAGGGGGUACAGAGGGAAACGACUGUGUUCUAUUCUUAGACAUUUCUAACUUCGGUGGAAAAAGCAUUCUCUGGGGGAGGCACAGUGCGUGGUUUGGGGGUGCGAAUGCUUUGAAUACUUCGGCAUUUAAAACACUGAAACAUUUUGUCCUGUAUGCAAAGCGAUCACAUAUCGGGAAAAAAGGGAGGAAAGAAAAAAAAGGGGGGGGGUUGGGGUGGGGGGGGUGGGGGAAGGAAAGAAAAACAAAUAACCCAGGGCCCUUCUCUUCAUCCGUGUAAACAAUGAACAAAGGGGGGGGGGGGGGGGGGGGGGGGGGGGGGGGGGGGGGGGGUGGAGAGAGCAACCCUUUGGGAUAUGGAACACAAAUCUUCUUGCCCGUCCUAAAAGUAUCAAGGACUCCAGACAUUUCCCAGGUGGGUUCGGAUGUCCAUCCGUCCAUUCGUCCGUCCCGGCGGCGGUCAGCAGGUGGCGGUUUUGCGGUACUUCUUCACUUGGCAGAACUUGGAGUUAGAGAAUAGAGUCAUAGAACCCUUAGAGUUGGAAGGGACCUCUGAGGGCAAGCUAGUCCAACUCCCCUGCAAUGAACAGGGUCAUCACAGCUACAUCAAGUUGCCCAGGGCCUGAUCCAGCCUCGCCUUCAAAGUCUCCAGGGACGGGACAUCAACCACAUCACUGGGAAAGCUGUUCCAGUGCCUCACCACCCUCACUGAUUCGGGUCCGGCCACAGCGGUGCUACAGGGCGCGCGUUUCUGCAGCCCCGCGCCUCCUCUCCUCUCCCUUCCCCAGCAGCACCACGAGACAUUUUCCCAAAAGCAAAAAGAGAAUUUCCGAAAGCACGUGUGACAGUCGAUGUGCUCACAAAACGCCCACCUUCUGCGGCUGUCGACAUCGCACCGUUCUCAGACCACGUCCGAGCCGAAGACAGCUGGCACUCAAAGGGACGUGGAAGGGUGGAGCUGAUUGUGACAUAUUUACUCAAAAAAACCAAUUUUUAAAAAUUAAACCUAAAUGACGGCUGAAUAUCACAGAAGAAAUGAGAGGAGGAGAAAGCUUGAAGACCUGUCUGUCCACCAGAAAUG